UGGGGAAUUUUGGACAAUGGGGGCAACCCUGAUCCAGCAAUGCCGCGUGAGUGAAGAAGGCCUUCGGGUUGUAAAGCUCUUUUGUCAGGGAAGAAACGGGAGUGGCUAAUAUCUGCUUCUAAUGACGGUACCUGAAGAAUAAGCACCGGCUAACUACGUGCCAGCAGCCGCGGUAAUACGUAGGGUGCAAGCGUUAAUCGGAAUUACUGGGCGUAAAGCGUGCGCAGGCGGUUUUGUAAGGCUGUUGUGAAAUCCCCGGGCUUAACCUGGGAAUGGCAAUGGAGACUGCAAGGCUAGAGUUUGGCAGAGGGGGGUAGAAUUCCACGUGUAGCAGUGAAAUGCGUAGAGAUGUGGAGGAACACCGAUGGCGAAGGCAGCCCCCUGGGUCAAGACUGACGCUCAUGCACGAAAGCGUGGGGAGCAAACA
This 427-nucleotide ribosomal RNA is filed under the name uncultured Janthinobacterium sp. RNAcentral describes it as "bacterial SSU rRNA". It matches the Rfam family "Bacterial small subunit ribosomal RNA", at positions 355 to 774 of the family's 1533-position model. Lineage: Bacteria; Pseudomonadati; Pseudomonadota; Betaproteobacteria; Burkholderiales; Oxalobacteraceae. The record is from RNAcentral.